AGUGAACGCUGGCGGCGUGCUUAACACAUGCAAGUCGAACGAGAACGGACUAUAGCUUGCUAUAACUGUCAGCUAAGUGGCGCACGGGUGAGUAAUGUAUAGGUAAUAUGCCUCUUACUAAGGGAUAACAAAUGGAAACGUUUGCUAAUACCUUAUACUCCUUAUUAACAGAAGUUAAUAAGGGAAAGAUUUAUUGGUAAGAGAUUAGCCUGUAUUGUAUCAGUUAGUUGGUGGGGUAAUGGCUUACCAAGACUAUGACACAUAACUGGUUUGAGAGGAUGAUCAGUCACACUGGAACUGAGACACGGUCCAGACUCCUACGGGAGGCAGCAGUGGGGAAUAUUGCACAAUGGACGAAAGUCUGAUGCAGCAACGCCGCGUGGAGGAUGACACAUUUCGGUGCGUAAACGCCUUUUAUAUGAGAAGAUAAUGACGGUAUUAUAUGAAUAAGCACCGGCUAACUCCGUGCCAGCAGCCGCGGUAA
RNAcentral lists this ribosomal RNA (484 nucleotides) under uncultured bacterium. RNAcentral describes it as "partial 16S ribosomal RNA". It matches the Rfam family "Bacterial small subunit ribosomal RNA", at positions 29 to 523 of the family's 1533-position model. The record is from RNAcentral.